UUAAAAUAUUUUUGAAUCAACAUUUACUCAUCAAAUGCUCUGGUCUGAAUCUUAUUUUAAAUUAACUUAAUUAUAUGUUUAAUGAGCAAUGUUAAUUGCACACAGAGUAAGAUUAUCUUGUUUUUCAGAAGAGAAGGAAGACCAAGGAAAUGAUUUGCUCAUGAGGAAUGAAGACGGCCAUCUUGAGCCCAAACAAAGACAGAAGUCCUCUGAUGAUCUCAUCAGCCAAAUGGGGGGUUUUGACCAAGUGAUGCUCUUGAAAGGACUGAAAGAAGAGGAUGUGGUAAAUUGUCUUCAGAGAAAAACCUUCUCAAAAGGUCUCAAAACAGCUUGAAGAAUGGUCUGGGAUCUUAGGACUGAGAGAUCCUCUGGCUGAGAAAAGGCUACACCACAUCAGUGCUGGAUAUCAACCACAAACAGUUUCCAGACACGAGAGAAGAAGAUCACGAUGGGGAGAUGAAACCAGUUUAGAUAUGAUGAUGGGAAUCAUUAUUUUCUGGAACAGUAUCACAUGUCUUAUAUGUAUCACAUGAUCUGUAUCACAGUUGACUGGAUGGAUUAUUUUUACUUUUAAGGACAUUUCAUCACUCAUCUGUGUGAACUGAUUAAUUUAUGAUAUUAAUGAAUUUUUGAUCCUUUAUUAUUUUCCUUGAAUUGUGUUUGUCUUGAAGCUACUUUAUCAACUUCAUAGUCUAUGCUUCAAUAAAAUUAAUAUGGUGAAUAUUGUGUGUUGAAAAUUCUUGGUAAAUUCAUAAUUUUACUAGAUACUGUAGGCUACUAUGGGUUUAUUCUACACUUGAAAAACUACAUAUUAAUUACCAGGAUUAUUUUUUGCUUAAACAUUAAUGACAUC
This is a long non-coding RNA of Carassius gibelio (silver crucian carp), 853 nucleotides long. RefSeq lists it as uncharacterized. The transcript is spliced from 3 exons. The record is from RefSeq and is a predicted model, not a curated record. Lineage: Eukaryota; Metazoa; Chordata; Actinopteri; Cypriniformes; Cyprinidae.